AAAAGAUCAGUUGGAAAAAUUGAUGAGAGGAGGAAAUGCUGGAGGGGUAGCUUGCUUCCACUCAUCAUCAUCAUCAUCAACAUGGUCCUCUUUGACUUAAUUUGCCUUACAAACACAUAUGAUC
This is a long non-coding RNA of Hibiscus syriacus, 124 nucleotides long. RefSeq lists it as uncharacterized. The transcript is spliced from 3 exons. NCBI's taxonomy places the organism in Eukaryota, Viridiplantae, Streptophyta, Magnoliopsida, Malvales, Malvaceae. The record is from RefSeq and is a predicted model, not a curated record.